This is a long non-coding RNA of Dermochelys coriacea (leatherback sea turtle), 161 nucleotides long. RefSeq lists it as uncharacterized. NCBI's taxonomy places the organism in Eukaryota, Metazoa, Chordata, Testudines, Dermochelyidae. The record is from RefSeq and is a predicted model, not a curated record. The transcript is spliced from 4 exons.
UGGAAGGGAGUUUGGGUGCAGAAAGGGUGAGAGGUUGGGCUCUGGGAGGGAGUUUGGUUCGGGUAGGGGGUCUGGGAUGCAGGCGCUGGGAUGGAGUUUGGGUCCUGGGUGGAGGCUCUGGACUGGGGCGGGGGUUUGUGUGGGUGCAGGCUCUGGGAGGG